Non-coding RNA from Gossypium hirsutum (cotton), 107 nucleotides. The record is from Rfam. Lineage: Eukaryota; Viridiplantae; Streptophyta; Magnoliopsida; Malvales; Malvaceae.
AGUUGGUGGUGGGGACAUUUCUUUUGCAUAUCUUUAAACUAUUCUUAUGCCUCAUGUAAAGUUUCCUCUUCAUAUUGCUAGAAACUAGCAAUGUCAUUUUAUAAUUU